AGAUUUCCAAAGCGUGACUGGAGAAAAUUGCGCCUGAAACGACAAUCCUCGAUGACCUCUUUCAUUGAAGAAAGAAUUGAAUUGUUCUCUUGUCUUAAAAUUCCAAAAGCAUGCACUUCAAAAUCCGUAUGAAGCAGCAUGCGAGGCACAUUUUAAAACAUCAAACACGAGAAAACUAUUGGCUGGAGUUCCCAAACCAUGCGUCUGAAUGUGCACUUUGCCCCAUGCCAGAGAUCACAAAGCAUCUAAUUAAAAAUGAUAAAUCUGAGGGGCAGCACUUGAGAAAGGCAUCCAACACUACUUUUUUGCAUUUUCUGUGAAUUUAAUAAGCAUGCUUAUAUGACAAACACAAGCACAUAUUGACAAAAGGUGGCGUGAUGUUGCAUUGCCAAUUGCUGACAUUCGUGAAAAUCCCAGGCAUGUUUUGAAUUUUUUUAAUAUAGCAUACCACAGGUAGUCAAGCGCAGCCCUGCAAAAAGAAAGCGAAAUGUUAAUGGAAAAUUAUCCCCUUGUUCUCUCUGGUCAUUCCUGGUGACUGCAUCAUUGUGGCCAUUUUUCCUUCUAAUUCCUUGCCACUUUCACUCUUAUGUAAGGACAUUGCAUCUUAUCUUCAUUAAUAAUCCUCCUUCCUUUUUAGUCCAUAUCCCAGAAAUCAUGACAUUCAAUAUUUCCUUCAUCUAGAGCAUAUUUAGCGAGGUGCUCUGCUAAUGAAUUCCCUUCUCUGAAUAUGUGAGUGACCUUGAUGAUACUUUGUUCUUUCAUUCUUAAGAUCUCCUCUUAUAUCCUAGAAACCAUGACAUUCAAUAUUUCCUUCAUCUAGAGCAUAGUUAGCAAGGUGGUCUGCUAGUGAAUUCCCUUCUCUGAAUAUGUGUGCGACUUUGAUGAUACUUUGUUCUUUCAGUCUUAAAAUCUCCUCUACAUGAUCUGUAAUACACCAAGGAGGCUUCCACGAUUCCUCAAUAACGUUCCUUAAAAGUAAGGAAUCUGUCUGCAGCCAUAUCUGUAUAAAAUUAAGAUUUUGGCACAUCUUCAGUGCCUCUACAACAACAACUGCUUCUGAUUCGUUAUUGAAUCCUUUGUUAAUUUCUCUUCCUUCUAUAUAUAUCAAAUCACCGAUCUCAUCUCUUACGCAGAAACCAAUUGAACUUCUUCCUGGGUUACCUCUGCAAGCUCCAUCAGUAUUGACUUUGAUCCAGCCUAAUGGAGGAAAUUCCCAUAGUACUUUAUCAUAUUUUAGUCUGGGUGUGUAUUUCUCCAUCAUUGUCAGUAAGUACAGCCAUUUGUGAGGCACAUGUAAUCCUGGCUUUUUCAGUUGGAUUAGGGCUUGUAGCGAAGUUGACACUGGUAAAUAACUUUGCUUACUGACACCGCUUCUCCAUAUUUCAAAUUAUUUCUUCUCUUCCAUAACUCCCAUAUGAUGCAUGCUGGUAAAGCUUGCAGAACUGGCUUCAAUCUAGGUAUAACUGAUGCCGUCCAGCACUUUGUAAUUGCUUGUUGUACAGACAACCCUUCUAAUGCAAUUCCUGCUCUCCUCAGGAAGUAACUCUACACACUCGUAGUUGCAUUGGAUGUGAAGAACAAAUGAACUAGAGAGUCCUCUUUUGGAUUAGCACAACACCAACAUUUAGAUGGCAUGGAGUAUCCUAUUCUGCGCAAGAAAUCAUCAAGUGGCAGUUUGGCUUUCCACACCUUCCACAGGAAAAAAGAUAUCUUGAAUGGUAAGCCUUUGACCCAUAUCAUCUUGUAAGCUA
Molecule: long non-coding RNA, 1751 nt
Filed under: Nicotiana benthamiana
Lineage: Eukaryota; Viridiplantae; Streptophyta; Magnoliopsida; Solanales; Solanaceae
Description: long non-coding RNA (NBEN_LNC020550)
Source: RNAcentral